Molecule: ribosomal RNA, 466 nt
Filed under: uncultured Peptostreptococcaceae bacterium
Lineage: Bacteria; Bacillati; Bacillota; Clostridia; Peptostreptococcales; Peptostreptococcaceae
Description: bacterial SSU rRNA
Rfam family: Bacterial small subunit ribosomal RNA
Source: RNAcentral
AGGGCUUUGAUCCUGGCUCAGGAUGAACGCUGGCGGCGUGCCUAACACAUGCAAGUCGAGCGAUUCUCUUAGGAGAAGAGCGGCGGACGGGUGAGUAACGCGUGGGUAACCUGCCCUGUACACACGGAUAACAUACCGAAAGGUAUGCUAAUACGGGAUAACAUAUUUUGAUGGCAUCAUCGAAGUAUCAAAGCUCCGGCGGUACAGGAUGGACCCGCGUCUGAUUAGCUAGUUGGUGAGGUAAUGGCUCACCAAGGCGACGAUCAGUAGCCGACCUGAGAGGGUGAUCGGCCACAUUGGAACUGAGACACGGUCCAAACUCCUACGGGAGGCAGCAGUGGGGAAUAUUGCACAAUGGGCGAAAGCCUGAUGCAGCAACGCCGCGUGAGCGAUGAAGGCCUUCGGGUCGUAAAGCUCUGUCCUCAAGGAAGAUAAUGACGGUACUUGAGGAGGAAGCCCCGGGUAA